GGUGGCUCAGUGGUAGAGCGCUUGCCUUGCAAUACAUGAGACCCUGGGUUCGAUUCCCCAGCACCA
Dipodomys ordii (Ord's kangaroo rat) is the source of this 66-nucleotide non-coding RNA. The record is from Rfam. NCBI's taxonomy places the organism in Eukaryota, Metazoa, Chordata, Mammalia, Rodentia, Heteromyidae.